CAAUAGCGUAUAUUAAAGUUGUUGCGGUUAAAAGCUCGUAGUUGGAUUUCUGCCGAGGACGACCGGUCCGCCCUCUGGGUGAGUAUCUGGCUUGGCCUGGGCAUCUUCUUGGAGAACGUAGCUGCACUUGACUGUGUGGUGCGGUAUCCAGGACUUUUACUUUGUAGGAAAUUAAGAGUGUUUCUAAGCAGGCAUGCGCCUUGAAUACAUUAGCAUGGAAUAAUAAGAUAGGACCUCGGUUCUAUUUUGUUGGUUUCUAGAGCUGAGGUAAUGAUUAAUAGGGAUAGUUGGGGGCGAUUCGUUAUUUAACUUAGUCAGAGGUGGAAAUUACUUUGGUA
This 338-nucleotide ribosomal RNA is filed under the name uncultured eukaryote. RNAcentral describes it as "SSU rRNA". It matches the Rfam family "Eukaryotic small subunit ribosomal RNA", at positions 592 to 932 of the family's 1831-position model. The record is from RNAcentral.